This 484-nucleotide ribosomal RNA is filed under the name uncultured bacterium. Its description in RNAcentral is "partial 16S ribosomal RNA". It matches the Rfam family "Bacterial small subunit ribosomal RNA", at positions 30 to 507 of the family's 1533-position model. The record is from RNAcentral.
AUUGAACGCUGGCGGCAGGCCUAACACAUGCAAGUCGAGCGGAUGAAGGGAGCUUGCUCCUGGAUUCAGCGGCGGACGGGUGAGUAAUGCCUAGGAAUCUGCCUGGUAGUGGGGGAUAACGUCCGGAAACGGGCGCUAAUACCGCAUACGUCCUGCGGGAGCAAGUGGGGGAUCUUCGGACCUCACGCUAUCAGAUGAGCCUAGGUCGGAUUAGCUAGUUGGUGGGGUAAAGGCCUACCAAGGCGACGAUCCGUAACUGGUCUGAGAGGAUGAUCAGUCACACUGGAACUGAGACACGGUCCAGACUCCUAAGGGAGGCAGCAGUGGGGAAUAUUGGACAAUGGGCGAAAGCCUGAUCCAGCCAUGCCGCGUGUGUGAAGAAGGUCUUCGGAUUGUAAAGCACUUUAAGUUGGGAGGAAGGGCAGUAAGUUAAUACCUUGCUGUUUUGACGUUACCAACAGAAGAAGCACCGGCUAACUUCGUG